CGCUUUGUCUUUAACUGAUAUGAAGAGCUUGCUCUGAUUUGAUUCUAUCUGACAAAGAGUGGCGAACGGGUGAGUAACACGUGGGUAACCUACCUCUUAGCAGGGGAUAACAUUUGGAAACAAGUGCUAAUACCGUAUAAUACCAACAACCGCAUGGUUGUUGGUUGAAAGAUGGUUCUGCUAUCACUAAGAGAUGGACCCGCGGUGCAUUAGCUAGUUGGUAAGGUAACGGCUUACCAAGGCAAUGAUGCAUAGCCGAGUUGAGAGACUGAUCGGCCACAAUGGGACUGAGACACGGCCCAUACUCCUACGGGAGGCAGCAGUAGGGAAUCUUCCACAAUGGGCGCAAGCCUGAUGGAGCAACGCCGCGUGUGUGAUGAAGGGUUUCGGCUCGUAAAACACUGUUAUAAGAGAAGAACGGCACUGAGAGUAACUGUUCAGUGUGUGACGGUAUCUUACCAGAAAGGAACGGCUAAAUACGUGCCAGCAGCCGCGGUAAUACGUAUGUUCCAAGCGUUAUCCGGAUUUAUUGGGCGUAAAGCGAGCGCAGACGGUUAUUUAAGUCUGAAGUGAAAGCCCUCAGCUCAACUGAGGAAUGGCUUUGGAAACUGGAUGACUUGAGUGCAGUAGAGGAAAGUGGAACUCCAUGUGUAGCGGUGAAAUGCGUAGAUAUAUGGAAGAACACCAGUGGCGAAGGCGGCUUUCUGGACUGUAACUGACGUUGAGGCUCGAAAGUGUGGGUAGCAAACAGGAUUAGAUACCCUGGUAGUCCACACCGUAAACGAUGAGUGCUAGAUGU
RNAcentral lists this ribosomal RNA (799 nucleotides) under uncultured bacterium. RNAcentral's name for it is "bacterial SSU rRNA". It matches the Rfam family "Bacterial small subunit ribosomal RNA", at positions 40 to 823 of the family's 1533-position model. The record is from RNAcentral.